GAAGGCACAGCAUGUGGGGCACAUCUGAGAGCCUCCUGGCCUAGUCUGCUCCGACUAGGAGGCAGAAGUUCCUGGCACACGUUCUGGUGACACUGCAAGGCACUCCUGAGGGGCCCAAGGCCCCUGCUCUGGAGCCAAAGCCCAUCCCUCUAACCUCCAAAUGCCAGCCAAGGCGAGGAGGGAGGCACUGAAAACAAUGAACCUUUAAUGGACCUUCACAGCCUGUCAGCCAGCAAGUGGCAGGAGGGAGGCCAGGGAAGAAGCAGCAGUGCCUGCUGGCUGCCUCUGAGAGGGGAGCUGGCUGGACACAGCCUGUCCCUCAGCAUGUUUCUGCUGAGAAAACCAGCUGCUGGGUUGUGAGUGGCAGGCAGGGCCUUGGCAGCUGCAGCCCCCUUCCACACUGCUGUCCUCACCCUCCUGUCCAGCUCCCUCUGCCACCAUCAUCCCCUCUGGCUUGGCCACACCCCUGCCUACCCAGCACUGAGGCUGGGAAGCCCUGGGAGGACAGGGCACUGUCCAGGUGGCGAUGAUGGUGGCGGGAGGGGAGCAGAGGAGGUGGGUGGCUACAGUGGGCUACACUCACCCCUUUCUCCUGGGCUGACUCAUGGAUCCCGGCUCACCUUUACUGUAUUCCUCCCACCCCAGCAGUCCUGGGCCCACACCGCCAGGUCUCCGCAGGUCCAUUCCAGCUCCCGGGCCUGCCAGACACGGCUGCGUUCCUCUGAAGAGCCUGGCCCUCUACACGCACGCAAGCUGGCCUCCUCACGGCUUCCUGACAAACUCAGACCCCUGCAGCAGGUUUUCUAGUUUCUGUCCUUGCUUUCAAGGCACAUCAACUUGGGGAAGAAAGCCCUUUCCAAUUCUCCUGCUCUCUAUUACACAAAUGCUUCCUGGCCCUGUGGGGGCUCUACCCCCUCCAUCAGGCUCACCUCUUUCCUAUGGAAGAAGGGAUCUAUGGAUACAGGAAUCCUCUCAGCCAUGCUUUUUGGACAAACAGGUGCUCAGAAUGGCCACUGGCCAAUACCCUGAGUGCCUAGCACCAGAAGUGCAGCCCAGGUGCCCUCCAGUGCUUGGUGCCAGCUGCUACUGAGCGCUCCUUGCGGCCACACCCACUCACCUCACCUGUGUGCCAUGUGAUGGCCUCCUGUGAGACACCGUGUGCCUCAGGAUAUUCUGGGCCAUGGUGCCCAGUGGUGUCUCUUGAAAACUUAACACUCUCCCCAGGAAAAAGCACAUGUGCAUGAGUGUGUGUGUCAGUACCAUAGCACUCAAUCUACAUACCCUGCAGGGGGAUCAGGAAGCCCCUCUUCCUGUGUCCCUGGGUCCCCAGAUUCCAGGUUAGGAACUCUUGCUGAGGCAUGUCACAGCAUGAGGGAGGAGGCAAGGGGCACUGCAGCGAGGAGUCUGGGUGUGAGUUUUGCAUCAAGGUGGCAUGUGACUCGGCAUGUUGUGCCAUCUCUCGGGCCUUGGUGUCUAAUAGGAUUGUUCUGGGAGCUGGUCUAGUGUCCUCAGGGCUCUUCCCAGCUGUACUGUACUGUCCCCAGGGUCAGGCUGGGCAAGGGGAGGAGGUUCCAAAUCUCUCUCAGCAGUGCAUCCUGGGGAAGGCAAUCAGCCAGCCAGAAGAGACUGAGCAAAGGGCAAGUUCCCCUUUGUGAAAAAACUGCAGAAGCUUUAAGAGGUGCAACUACUUUCUAUUUGAUUUUAAUUUACUUUAAAACAAUUUCAAAAUAUUUUCUUCAAUAUCUCUGUGACAGGAUAACCACUAAGUUUUUAUAAGGAUCUGGAUUUAAAGCUCUGCUCUGGGACUCUUUAGCUGUGUGACCUUAGCAAGACUGUUUUCUGGACAUGGCAUGAAACAGCACAAGGGCAGGAGGAUUUCCAGAAGGACCAUGCUUCUCCAAGUGGAAUGUCUUCAUUGAAGAUUUCCCUCUACAAAGAGCCUGUUUUUGUUGGGAGCCAGAAGAGCAAGACAGUGAGAUUUAAGACUGUGAACUAAUAAGCCAGUAGGACCUCCCCUGGAGCCAGGAUAUUAAAGAGCCAAAGGAAGUGGAAGCCUUUCCGAUGGAAGAGAAGAAUCUGGAGUCGACACAGAGCAUUUGCACGGACAAGGGUUGUGUGUCCAACUCCUGGGCUGUGAAUGCAAGGGCAGCCUCAGGGCGAUCGGGGGAGAUUUGCCAGGCAGAAUAUGUGGCUGCUGCUGUGUCCAGAGGAAGAGCAGCCCCCUCUAUCUCUUCUUCCAAGCCUGCAGUUCCGGAGGAAUGUGAAGCAUUCCCAAUGGGUCUCUGGCAAACUGGCUAGACUUGACCUGUUAACCUUGUGUUUAAAAACACAUCUUAGCUGAGUUGACCUCACCUGAGAACCUGCCCUCAAAGCCACUUCUGUUUAGCCCCUCGUGUGACAGGGCCUGCCCAUCCCCAGGUUUCCUUUCCAUCCUUUGUAACUCAAGUGAGGACAUGUGUAAGAAAGGAGGGUGCCAUAUAAUAAUAAAUGUCUUAAAGUUUGUGUCUA
Non-coding RNA from Manis javanica (Malayan pangolin), 2508 nucleotides. The record is from RefSeq and is a predicted model, not a curated record. Lineage: Eukaryota; Metazoa; Chordata; Mammalia; Pholidota; Manidae.